RNAcentral lists this ribosomal RNA (253 nucleotides) under uncultured bacterium. RNAcentral's name for it is "partial 16S ribosomal RNA". It matches the Rfam family "Bacterial small subunit ribosomal RNA", at positions 524 to 776 of the family's 1533-position model. The record is from RNAcentral.
UACGUAGGGGGCAAGCGUUAUCCGGAUUUACUGGGUGUAAAGGGAGCGUAGGCGGCAGUGCAAGUCAGAAGUGAAAGCCCGGGGCUCAACUCCGGGACUGCUUUUGAAACUGUACAGCUUGAUUGCAGGAGAGGCAAGUGGAAUUCCUAGUGUAGCGGUGAAAUGCAUAGAUAUCACACAGAACACCGAUUGCGAAGGCAUCUGACGAAUCGGAGAUUGACGCUGAUGCACGAAAGCGUGGGUAUCGAACAGG